GACGAACGCUGGCGGCGUGCUUAACACAUGCAAGUCGAACGGAAAGGCCCCUUUGGGGGUACUCGAGUGGCGAACGGGUGAGUAACACGUGAGUAACCUGCCCUUGACUUCGGGAUAACUUCAGGAAACUGGGGCUAAUACCGGAUAGGAAUCCUUGCUGCAUGGUGGGGGUUGGAAAGCUUCGGCGGUUUUGGAUGGACUCGCGGCUUAUCAGCUUGUUGGUGGGGUAGUGGCUUACCAAGGCUUUGACGGGUAGCCGGCCUGAGAGGGCGACCGGCCAGGGGGGGACAGAGAGGCGGCGCGGAGUAGGGCGGGAGGAGGAAGUCGGGAUGGAAGCAGCGGGGGCGGGGGCCCGCGGGAGCCACGGCGCGUGGGGGACGGCGGCGCGCGGGGGGUAGAGCGCUGGCGGCAGGGGGGGGUGGGGGGGGAGCAGAGACUGAGAAAGAAGCACCGGCUACCUACGGGCCAGCGGCCGCGGUACAAAGCGGAAGAGCACCGGUCUGAAC
RNAcentral lists this ribosomal RNA (506 nucleotides) under uncultured bacterium. RNAcentral describes it as "partial 16S ribosomal RNA". The stretch from base 20 to 343 matches the Rfam family "Bacterial small subunit ribosomal RNA", at positions 47 to 358 of the family's 1533-position model. The record is from RNAcentral.